UAUGGACAACGUGACUGUUGUAAUUGUGUGCAUCUUAUUCUUUGUCAUGUUCUCAGUUCUUAUUACUUUAUUAAGGCCUGCUUCAUAAUGUACCUAAAUGUGUGUUCUCUAUUACAGACAGAUUUUCAAAGAUUUCCGUUUUGCUGCAACUGGAUGAAGUGGACUUAUUCAGGCAGAGUUCCAGAGAAUUGUCACUACGGACCUGCUUUCAUCGUUUCUGGAUGGACUUGAUGGCCUGGCAUUGCUGGAGGUCUACAAAGGUGCAUCCAGGACUGGAAAGAAGCCGGCACUAAAAGGCCUUUUGGACUGCCUUGAGAAAGAUGACACAAAUGAGAGGAGGAGGACUGCUGCUCUCUUGGGACUAUCACACUACAUGUCUGGCGAAAAUCAGGAAAAUGUCAUCAGGAUGUGUGAUGUAAGAUCAUAACUGUCUUGAAUUACUUUAUGUAAUUG
Molecule: long non-coding RNA, 453 nt
Organism: Notothenia coriiceps (black rockcod)
Lineage: Eukaryota; Metazoa; Chordata; Actinopteri; Perciformes; Nototheniidae
Exons: 3
Source: RefSeq, a predicted model, not a curated record